This 495-nucleotide ribosomal RNA is filed under the name uncultured bacterium. RNAcentral describes it as "partial 16S ribosomal RNA". It matches the Rfam family "Bacterial small subunit ribosomal RNA", at positions 30 to 507 of the family's 1533-position model. The record is from RNAcentral.
UGAACGCUGGCGGCGUGCCUAAUACAUGCAAGUCGAGCGAACGGACGAGAAGCUUGCUUCUCUGAUGUUAGCGGCGGACGGGUGAGUAACACGUGGAUAACCUACCUAUAAGACUGGGAUAACUUCGGGAAACCGGAGCUAAUACCGGAUAAUAUUUUGAACCGCAUGGUUCAAAAGUGAAAGACGGUCUUGCUGUCACUUAUAGAUGGAUCCGCGCUGCAUUAGCUAGUUGGUAAGGUAACGGCUUACCAAGGCAACGAUGCAUAGCCGACCUGAGAGGGUGAUCGGCCACACUGGAACUGAGACACGGUCCAGACUCCUACGGGAGGCAGCAGUAGGGAAUCUUCCGCAAUGGGCGAAAGCCUGACGGAGCAACGCCGCGUGAGUGAUGAAGGUCUUCGGAUCGUAAAACUCUGUUACUAGGGAAGAACAUAUGUGUAAGUAACUGUGCACAUCUUGACGGUACCUAAUCAGAAAGCCACGGCUAACUACGUG